This is a long non-coding RNA of Pieris brassicae (large cabbage white), 488 nucleotides long. RefSeq lists it as uncharacterized. The record is from RefSeq and is a predicted model, not a curated record. NCBI's taxonomy places the organism in Eukaryota, Metazoa, Arthropoda, Insecta, Lepidoptera, Pieridae. The transcript has 4 exons.
GCUUUGCUUGCCAUGUCAAACUCGGAUUCCUCCAUUUUGUACAUUUCGAUGAGCUGAAAAAUAACAGUAAUUAAAUUAUAUACCACAGUGGGCUGUGGGACAGUUUUUGGGACAUGAUUGGUGUAUAACUUAUCCAGUAUACACUAACCGCGUUUCGUUAGAAAAUGUACAAUAAAAAAGAUGGAAUGUUGUCCUUACUGGACAUGACAGAUAAUCUGAAGUCCAGGCGUUCGUAAAUGAGAGCUAUUUGUGGGGUUUGCGUAUAUAAAUAAAUUAACCUGACUUUGCGCUUACCUUGACGAGUUCGCAUCAGUGUUUCAUAAACAGAUAUGAACGGAAGUUUAAUGACUUACAAGAAAAAAAUGCUCCGGUUUCUUCUCUGGCCCACUCUCCUCUAUACCCAUGGCCUUCAUAUUGUCUGUUCUCUCCUUCGCCGCUCCCAUGAAAGCACGCGGAUCGGACAGAGCCGCCAUGAAAUCUAACAUAAG